RNAcentral lists this long non-coding RNA (1029 nucleotides) under Homo sapiens (human). RNAcentral's name for it is "HSALNT0188871". Lineage: Eukaryota; Metazoa; Chordata; Mammalia; Primates; Hominidae. The record is from RNAcentral.
GUGCCGACUUGAUCUCCCAGGUCUCCCUCAACUGUCUGUAAGGUGCUAAAUUUGAGAACCACGAGUCGUGUUUCCCAAGCCCACAAGAGCACUUGUCCUGGGGUCCCCUGGUACCCUGUGGAGAUCGUGGUGGAGGAUGUGGGAUGACAAAGAGGAGAGGCAAUGGGCCAGAGUGUCUCAAGGCACUCUGAGGAGAGACAGAGGUGGAACAGGACAGACCCACGGACCCUGAGAGGAGACAGACAUGCAGACUUCCAGACCUUCAGGGAGAAAGACUUCCUCCCACCUCGGGGACGAAUAUACUGACACACCACUCCCAGGGACAGAGACAUGGACCACAGACACCUAGACCCUCAAAGAAGGCAAACAGAUUCCCAGAGGGACAGGCUCCCUCCAACCACACCGGAAAGAGAAGCAAAUAAACCUUCAGAGGGGACACGUGGGUCCUCAGAGAGACGGAUGAACAGAGCGCGUGUCCCCUCCACGCAGGGAUAGAAGCAGACCCUGGAGAGAGUGACCAUGAGCUUCCAAAGGGGGGGCAGACAGACUGUCCACAGGGACAGACCCACAGGAAGACUCUCCCAACCCCCUCAACAGGGACAGAUAAAUAAAACAUCAGAGAGGACCAGCACGCAGACACCGAGGGGGACGGACACCAAAUCCUCAAGGGAAUUGACACAGAGCCCCUCUGCACCUCCAGGUUCAGUAGAGCCUCUUCCAUAAGCGGAUAGAUACUCAGACUCCCUGUCCCCAGCGGUUCAGGCCAUACAAAGCCACCUCUGCCCCUCUAGCUGAAUCCCAUCCCCUACUGUGUCCCUUUCUCUGUCAGCCACCACUCCGUGGCCCACCCCCAAGCUCUAGACCCACAGAAUCCAGGUCUGGUGAGCUCUGAGCUGCCACUGCUGGGUCUCCAGGCCCUCAUCUCCAGGGAGCCAGGGGAAGGGACAGACUCACCCAGUGAGCGGGGCUGAACCGAUUCAUGACCACCGCAGGGCCAAAAGAGCGGGCUGGGUUCAUGGAGCAGCCAGU